CCUACGGGUGGCAGCAGUAGGGAAUUUUCGUCAAUGGGCGCAAGCCUGAUCCAGCAAUGCCGCGUGUACGAAGAAGGCCUUCGGGUCGUAAAGUACUUUUGGAGGGGACGAAGAGCGGAAAGAGAAUAUGCUUGCUGAUUGAUGUUACCCUCCGAAGAAGUAACGGCUAACUACGUGCCAGCAGCCGCGGUAAUACGGAGGGGGCAAGCGUUAACCGGAAUUAUUGGGCGUAAAGGGUGCGUAGGCGGCUUGGUAAGUCUGGUGUGAAAUGUACGGGCUCAACCUGGGAAAGGCAUUGGAAACUGGCGGGCUAGAGAGCAGGAGAGGGAGGUGGAAUUCCAGGUGUAGCGGUAAAAUGCGUAGAUAUAUGGAAGAACACCAGUGGCGAAGGCGGCCGCCUGGCCGGUUACUGACGCUGAGGUACGAAAGCGUGGGGAGCAAACAGGAUUAGAUACCCUGGUAGUC
Molecule: ribosomal RNA, 465 nt
Filed under: uncultured bacterium
Lineage: Bacteria
Description: partial 16S ribosomal RNA
Rfam family: Bacterial small subunit ribosomal RNA
Source: RNAcentral